Molecule: transfer RNA, 73 nt
Filed under: Guinardia delicatula
Lineage: Eukaryota; Bacillariophyta; Coscinodiscophyceae; Rhizosoleniales; Rhizosoleniaceae
Description: tRNA-Phe
Rfam family: tRNA
About the family: Transfer RNA (tRNA) molecules are approximately 80 nucleotides in length. Their secondary structure includes four short double-helical elements and three loops (D, anti-codon, and T loops).
Source: RNAcentral
GUUUUAAUAGCUCAGUAGGUAGAGCAAAGGACUGAAAAUCCUUGUGUCGACAGUUCGAAUCUGUCUUAAAACA